AAAUUGAAGAGUUUGAUCAUGGCUCAGAUUGAACGCUGGCGGCAGGCCUAACACAUGCAAGUCGAACGGUAACAGGAAGCAGCUUGCUGCUUUGCUGACGAGUGGCGGACGGGUGAGUAAUGUCUGGGAAACUGCCUGAUGGAGGGGGAUAACUACUGGAAACGGUGGCUAAUACCGCAUAACGUCGCAAGACCAAAGAGGGGGACCUUCGGGCCUCUUGCCAUCAGAUGUGCCCAGAUGGGAUUAGCUUGUUGGUGGGGUAACGGCUCACCAAGGCGACGAUCCCUAGCUGGUCUGAGAGGAUGACCAGCCACACUGGAACUGAGACACGGUCCAGACUCCUACGGGAGGCAGCAGUGGGGAAUAUUGCACAAUGGGCGCAAGCCUGAUGCAGCCAUGCCGCGUGUAUGAAGAAGGCCUUCGGGUUGUAAAGUACUUUCAGCGGGGAGGAAGGUGUUGUGGUUAAUAACCGCAGCAAUUGACGUUACCCGCAGAAGAAGCACCGGCUAACUCCGUGCCAGCAGCCGCGGUAAUACGGAGGGUGCAAGCGUUAAUCGGAAUUACUGGGCGUAAAGCGCACGCAGGCGGUCUGUCAAGUCGGAUGUGAAAUCCCCGGGCUCAACCUGGGAACUGCAUUCGAAACUGGCAGGCUUGAGUCUUGUAGAGGGGGGUAGAAUUCCAGGUGUAGCGGUGAAAUGCGUAGAGAUCUGGAGGAAUACCGGUGGCGAAGGCGGCCCCCUGGACAAAGACUGACGCUCAGGUGCGAAAGCGUGGGGAGCAAACAGGAUUAGAUACCCUGGUAGUCCACGCCGUAAACGAUGUCUACUUGGAGGUUGUGCCCUUGAGGCGUGGCUUCCGGAGCUAACGCGUUAAGUAGACCGCCUGGGGAGUACGGCCGCAAGGUUAAAACUCAAAUGAAUUGACGGGGGCCCGCACAAGCGGUGGAGCAUGUGGUUUAAUUCGAUGCAACGCGAAGAACCUUACCUGGUCUUGACAUCCACGGAAGAAUUCAGAGAUGGAUUUGUGCCUUCGGGAACCGUGAGACAGGUGCUGCAUGGCUGUCGUCAGCUCGUGUUGUGAAAUGUUGGGUUAAGUCCCGCAACGAGCGCAACCCUUAUCCUUUGUUGCCAGCGGUCAGGCCGGGAACUCAAAGGAGACUGCCAGUGAUAAACUGGAGGAAGGUGGGGAUGACGUCAAGUCAUCAUGGCCCUUACGACCAGGGCUACACACGUGCUACAAUGGCGCAUACAAAGAGAAGCGACCUCGCGAGAGCAAGCGGACCUCAUAAAGUGCGUCGUAGUCCGGAUUGGAGUCUGCAACUCGACUCCAUGAAGUCGGAAUCGCUAGUAAUCGUGGAUCAGAAUGCCACGGUGAAUACGUUCCCGGGCCUUGUACACACCGCCCGUCACACCAUGGGAGUGGGUUGCAAAAGAAGUAGGUAGCUUAACCUUCGGGAGGGCGCUUACCACUUUGUGAUUCAUGACUGGGGUGAAGUCGUAACAAGGUAACCGUAGGGGAACCUGCGGUUGGAUCACCUCCUUACCUUAAAGAAGC
RNAcentral lists this ribosomal RNA (1554 nucleotides) under Salmonella enterica. Its description in RNAcentral is "bacterial SSU rRNA". It matches the Rfam family "Bacterial small subunit ribosomal RNA". The record is from RNAcentral. Lineage: Bacteria; Pseudomonadati; Pseudomonadota; Gammaproteobacteria; Enterobacterales; Enterobacteriaceae.